CGCUGCUCUUCCGGUCCCUUCUGAUGUCAGCCAGAGAAACGAGGGAAGUAGCAUGCUAAGAGGAAGAGAAAACCAGGAUAAAACCUCGGAGUUUACCUGUGAAAAGGAAAAAAAACAGUUGGAGCACUUACCCAGUGGAGGUCCGGAGCCAAGUGACUGAACGAAGGAGAGAGUUACGCAGAGAGCCGCAGCAAGGUCCGACAUCAGCGUGCUCCGCCUUGAUACACAGAGAGUAACGGUGGAAGCUGAAUUAGUGAGGAUGACUCCUGCUCCUGUCAUCUCUAAGCUCCUCACACAUCUUUACCUGCACAUGAGGAAAAUCACUCCUGUAGAAUGCAGUGGUUCAUCAGAACCUCUGGGGAUGUCCUGUGGAUUCUGUGGGUCCUGUGGGUUGCAGGGUGGGUCCUACCUAGACCAGGCUGAUCCUGGACCAUCCCACAGAUGCUCCAUCAGAUCUGGAUGUGGGGAGUGUGGAACCCAGAUGUUCAGAGGGAGAUGAUGCCACAUCUGGUCCAGCUGAUGGAAGGUCUUGAAGUUCUCUGACUGGCCUCGACUGAAGAUGGUCGUCUCACUGGAUUUAAGGUUCAGAUCGUCAGUAACAAACUCCAUCAAUGUGCCAACAGGGAAGCUUUAGGUUUAUUAAAUGUUGCUAUGAAGGUAUCGCUGUUUUUCUUUGUGAAUGCAAUGUGCUCCAACUGAAACUUGAAUUAGAACUUAGAAGUAAAUCCUUCCAUCUGAAAGGAUCUAGUUGCAUUAAUAACCUCAUAACAUUCAAAUUUUUAUUCCAGUCUUGGUUGGAAAUAGAAUCUCUGUAUUGAUUCGGGUAAAAACUGAACUUCACAGCAUGUUGGAGCAAAACAACCAGAUGAAAACUGUGAUGGUGUUGGAUUGUCAGACCGUAAUGUUGCAGCUCAAAGCAGCUUUUCUAUCUCAGUUCAUUCUGACAUUCAGCUAUGAAUCAACACAGCAGAUGGUGAUCCAUGCUGUGGAAGUCUCACAUCUCCUGAUUUAAUGGAGCUGCUUUGCACUUUUUACACUGUUUAUUCACCAACACUUUAUUUAAUAAAAGUCCCAUCCAGUUUUUAUGAGGAAUGUGAUGUUUUAAUUUCUCUGUGAAUAACUGCAGUCUAAUGUAACAGCUGGAGUUGUAACAUCUGUCCUGAUAUUGAUCAUGAAGUAUUGAUCAGAAUACUGAUGAUCAGCAGUCAUCCCUGAAGUUUUACAUUAAAAUCUUUACUUGUGUUGUGAACUUUGGUAAGAAGCAGAAACAUUAGCGUUGCCAUGGAUACAUGAGUGUUAAAUUCUGUCCAUGUUUCCAUUUUGGGAAAUUCAGUCCAGUUCCAGAAUGUGGAGGAAUUUAGUCUCACAAUCACAGACAACAAAUAUUAUCUGAAAGUCGGGUUAUUGUUGUUUAUCAGCACAAUACAAAAAGAUUAAUGUUAGAAAUAUUCCAGUUAAGACUCUAGAAUAUCAUGAUUUAUGUAAAUUUACCUCAAUAAUAUGAAUGUUCAGGUUAAGAUUAUACAGUGAUAUUUAUUAUGUAAGUUUAGCUGAUUAAAGUUUAUGACUGCACUAAAAUAUUAUUUAAAUUGACAUUAUUAUAACAUUUAGGGUCAGACCCUACAGUACUGAGAUUAAGAAAUCAAAUAUUCUAUAAAAUAUAAAUACAAUGAACUCAUUUGGAUAUAUUUAAGUGAGACUGCAAUAUUAUUUGACACAAAUCUAUCUAAAUCAAAAUUUUAAUAAUUUUCACGCCAAACAUUUACUGGACUGAUUUAAAUAUUAAAAUCACUCCCUUCUAAUCCUCUGCUGUUCGUUCAAACCUGAGGCCUUAAAUAGAAACACACAAGUAUCUGAUUGAAGGAACUUCUGCAGAGUCCUGGUUCCAGAACAUGAUGAUAGAAUUAUAGACAAACUUUAACAAAAGCUGCCUGAGAGUUUACAGGUUUUUAUGUUGGAUUUCUUCACUAAUUUAAUGAACGUUAUCAGCAAUAAUCAAGUGUUCAUUUGAUGAACUUAUUUCCUAAAACAUCCAGAAUUGGAGCUCAUAUCUUUGGCAGCUGUAAAGUUUCUGCUCCUUCAAAGUUCACAACACAAUGAAUUAAUUCCUAAAACACUCUCAAUGCUGGAGAGCGUUUGUGAUGCUGAAGCAGUGAUCAGUUUUUCUGUUUCUUCUCUGGAGAUGCACAAUGAGGGACGUCUGCAGAGACUGAGAAAGAGUCUCACCACAUCCUGACAUGAGGAAAAAGACUUUAUUGAAGACUACAAUGAGAAAAACUAUCAGACAGCAGACGGCUGCAUUCAAGAGAAGAAGACCAUCAAACAUCCACGUCAGCUGAUGGAGGUCCAAGAGUCUCACUGAACAAACAACCUACAGAGUGAAGACCUCAAAUCUGAUUGGACGGCCUCCUAUUCAGCUACAUGUUUGAACAAAUGCCUCUAAGUUGAUUUGUUUUCUAAAAUAAAUCUAGUUUGAGUCCUAAUCUAUGCCUGUGUGUUUGCUUCUUUACACCGCUGUUAACAGUUUAGGCUGUUAGAUUGUUCCAGAUAAGACAAGUACAAGAUUCUUCAGAGCCGUUGUACCACGAGCCUGACAGGAAGAACUCCAACAGCUACUGAAUGUUCCUGUGGUUCCCUCAAGGCUACAGGAGGAGCCCUACGAGGACGAGCCGGUGCACCUGAUGGCGGCCAGUCGCUGUGGUUCAAAGCCAAUACCGACUACGUGGACUUCUACUGGACCACACGGAAGCCUUCAAACCAGACCAACAAGUUCAGCGACUCCCCGACUCGUGGGUCUGAGGACGCCGCCGAGCCUCGGCUCAGCCGGCCUCCUGUCUGUGGGUGUUUGAGUGCUGAGAGGUUUGUGGAUGCAUGUGAAUGUGUCUGUGUUGAAACAGCAGCUUUUGACUCAGUAACGCCGGGAAAAACCAAGAGCUCCUUUAUCUGUGACUUCCACUAAAAAACUGAAGAAAAUAAGUUUGCCAGAGUUCUGACUGACAACAGAUUAUUAAAUAAUGAAAAUAAUCGUUUAAAUAUUCCUUUAAACAAUCCUUUUAGGUCUACAUUUCCUUUACA
Molecule: long non-coding RNA, 3075 nt
Organism: Amphiprion ocellaris (clown anemonefish)
Lineage: Eukaryota; Metazoa; Chordata; Actinopteri; Pomacentridae
Source: Ensembl